Molecule: long non-coding RNA, 430 nt
Organism: Alligator mississippiensis (American alligator)
Lineage: Eukaryota; Metazoa; Chordata; Crocodylia; Alligatoridae
Exons: 2
Source: RefSeq, a predicted model, not a curated record
UCCAGGGGAAAGACAGGGGGAGACUAGCUGGGGAGAGGGGAGCUGAAGCUGUGCUGAGAAGGGCUGCUACUAGGACAGUUGCUUCUGAGAGGACAACUGGCAGAGGAAUUGUUGCUAAGCGAGCUGCUACUGAGGGCAGAGGAGCCACCAGCUAAUAAGUACCCAGGAUCGCAUGGCAUCCAGGAAAGACUGGAAAAGGGAAGAAACCCUGGUCUCCGGAGCAGCCACACCUGAGGUCCUGACAGGCACCCCCAUCUUCUGCCCAGAUUGCCACCCCUUCUCUGAGGCAGAGCGAGCACCACUCCCCGGGGUGCCACUGCAGCCACUCUACAGUGGGCUACUUUGCUGCAGGCAGAAUGAUUUUGUGGAGACCUGGCUGAUUAAGUUUAUAUACCUGUUAUAAGUUGAUAAUAAAAUCGUUUUUGCUAUA